CCCGCCGGCGACCGGCGCACGGGUGAGUAACACGUAUGAAACCUGCCCGUAGCAGGGGAUAAGCGGAAGAAAUUCCGUCUAAUACCGCGUAACAACCCAUGGAGGCAUCUCUGUGGGUUUAAAGGAAGCGAUUCCGGCUACGGAUGGUCAUGCGUCGCAUUAGCUUGUUGGCGGGGUAACGGCCCACCAAGGCGACGAUGCGUAGGGGUUCUGAGAGGAAGGUCCCCCACACUGGUACUGAGACACGGACCAGACUCCUACGGAAGGCAGCAG
RNAcentral lists this ribosomal RNA (273 nucleotides) under uncultured bacterium. RNAcentral's name for it is "partial 16S ribosomal RNA". It matches the Rfam family "Bacterial small subunit ribosomal RNA", at positions 84 to 354 of the family's 1533-position model. The record is from RNAcentral.